UUUUUUAAUUGAAAACUGGGAUGAAUGGUAGAUACUGAUAGGAUUGUUUUAUUUUAUAAAUUUGAAUUUAGAUUAAAAUUAAAAAUAUUUUUAUAAAUUCUUGGGACGAGAAGACCCUAGAAGCUUAAAAUUUAAUAAUUUUUAAUUGGGGCAAUUUUUGAAGAAAAAAAUUUUUAAUAAGUAAAGGUAAAUUUUAUAUAGUUACUCUAGGGAUAACAGCGUAAUUUAAUUGGUAAGUUCUUAUUAAUAAUAAAGUUUGCGACCUCGAUGUUGAAUUAAUU
This 281-nucleotide ribosomal RNA is filed under the name Acutisoma discolor. RNAcentral describes it as "partial large subunit ribosomal RNA". The record is from RNAcentral. Lineage: Eukaryota; Metazoa; Arthropoda; Arachnida; Opiliones; Gonyleptidae.